Molecule: small RNA, 249 nt
Filed under: Nomascus leucogenys (northern white-cheeked gibbon)
Lineage: Eukaryota; Metazoa; Chordata; Mammalia; Primates; Hylobatidae
Description: Metazoan signal recognition particle RNA (ENSNLEG00000010150.2)
Source: RNAcentral
GCCGGGCGUGGUGGCACAUGCCUAUAAUCCCAGCUACUAGGGAGGCUGAGGCAGGAGAAUCGCUUGAACCUGGGAGGCGGAGAUUGCGGUGAGCCGAGAUCCUGCCAUUGCACUCCAGCCUGGGCAACAAGAGUGAAACUCCUUCUCAAAAAAAAAAAAAAAAAAGACUCAGGAGGUGGAGGUUGCAGUGAGUCAAGAUCAUGCCACUGCACCACUCCAGCCUGGGUGAUAAAGUGAGACCCUGUCUCA